Molecule: ribosomal RNA, 2290 nt
Filed under: Triticum aestivum (bread wheat)
Lineage: Eukaryota; Viridiplantae; Streptophyta; Magnoliopsida; Poales; Poaceae
Description: partial small subunit ribosomal RNA
Source: RNAcentral
UGAUCUCAAUGAUUCGAGGGAACUUUAUCGCUCGAGAGUCCGGAGGCUAUAUAAAAAAGUAACAACGGGGAGACAGGGUACCUAGGCAAAACAGUCCAGCCAAGUAAAAGUGGCCACUGUUUACUCAACUCAAAGAGGUACUCCAGUAGAAGGAGUUGGUCUGGGUGCUUAAGGUAGGUAUAGAACGCGGCGGCGGCGGAGAGAGGAGACGGAGCGGCAUGGAAGGUGCGCCUAAACACACUAGAGGCCCGCGCCAUGAGUCGGACACCCGCCGAGGGGCGCCGUCCCUCCGCGCCGUGGAGUACGGCGGGUACAAGGAGAGAGCGAGAGUGGUAGUGCGGUGGCUAGGGGAGGGGAGGAGGUGGGUCGCCUACGAGGCUGGAGAGAAGAGGAGGAGUACCUACGCAAGGGAGUGGAGAGCGCCGCGGAGGAACCGAGUAGGCGACCCGCUUGAGGUAUUGGGAGAGCCGGGAAGGAAGAGAACGGGGGAACCGCGCGUGGUUUGAGGGUACACGAAGGGGAUCGCCUGGUGUAGUCUAAGUGGACUUGAAACUAGCAACAAAAAGAAAAGAAAAGUACCGAAAGAACUAGAAACGAUGAACCACAACUCGUACCUGCCAGUCGUGUUGUCAUACCUCUAGGUUUGGAAAUGAAAUACAGACUUGACAAGUACCGAGUUCAGUGUAUCCAAACACGAAGAAAUAAGACUUGAAAAGUGCCAAGUUCAGUGUAUCGAAACACGAACGCUCAGGCAGUAGCAACAUAGAAAACUAUCUUGGAUGAGGGAGGCAAGGUUUUAUCUACUGGGUUGAAACAUGGUUUCAAUCAUGUUUCAACCCAGUAGAUAAAACCUUGCCUCCCUGAUAUAAUGAACUAAUAACAGGACAAGCUCAUGUACAUGUACAGAAUAAGAUGUCCACUCCACAUCAAAUAAAUGUCCUAUAAGUUCCAUUAUAACUACAUUAAAGAGGUACUUUUGUCUUGAAUGCCUUUAACUUUACUUGUAUAAUCAAAACUUCCAAUACGUCCAUUUAAUGGUAGUAUUUCUUAACGAUGAAUAUUCAGCUCUUGAUUGACUUCGAAGAAGUUGGAUUGUGUUAAACGAUGAGUUACUUAAAGACGUAUAGACUUCGAACGUUUAUAAGACUGUGUUGAAGAAAUACGACUUCUUAAUAGACUUACACAGUUCGGAGGUCAAUGUCCUAGUAUAUACUAACCCUGGAAAACCCACUCACACCCUCUCCCUAAUCCCCCCAUCAUCCAAGUUCAACAACAUUACACUUGAUUUAUCAUAAACGAGUAAGAAAAAAUACGGUAACAACAACAAAAACUUACUAUAGAGUUAGUCUGUAUCACAGCUACGUUUACACACGUAUAAAUAAUCGCAUAAGUAGGUAAAGAGGAUAAACAAGUACCGCAUUUCGUAUCAGGACACUAGACUUCAGUAUCUUAAUGAAAAAACAAGAUAACAACAAAAAGACCCGUUUAGUAGAUAGAACGAAUAACUGAAGAAAAAUAAAACAAGUCCUUUCCAGUAUGGCCAAAACUCAAGAGAGGACACUUUACAAAAACCUAGUUCUACCAAAAUCUGAAAGUCCUCCUUAAGCAUACAUCCAAAUAUAAGGGAACACCUACUUUUCCCACUACCUCAUGUGACAGAACACGGGUUUCCGAAUGAAAGGUUUUAAGUCGUCGACUGCAGACUUCCAGCACAUACAAUAGAUGUCAAGAAAGUCUGAUCGGGGCGCUUUUCCGUCCGAACUCUAUAAAGUCCAGUUCUAAGUUGACCAGCUAAGACCCAUGUCUUAAGAACUCCAACUAGUCAUACAACUUACGUAACGACUUACUCCUGCAGCUAAACUCUGCCUGUUCCUUAGAUGAUACGUGGCGUGUUGAUACAGAGCCGUGUUGUCUAUGGCGGAGGUUGUUCGUUCUCGCUUCGGUUGCCUUCCUUUGUGGUGGUUUGCGUUGAAUUUAUUUUGUGUUGCGUUACCUUAACUUUGGUACCACUUGGUUGACUGGUACUAUUAGGUGCUUCUUUUUUCCCUUCAACUUGGGUCUUAGAUUUUUGCCGUGCCGUUUCGCGCGCAGUGGAAGAUCACGUUAGAUACGAACCACCUUACAUGAGAUUAAGCCGUGAGUGUUUAUAAGCGGAGGUCCGGUGGUAAUCAGAAAAGAAAGCGUGCAUCAACCGUACAGCAAGGAAAAAAAGUAUCAAAUUGGCGUGAUUUUGGCCAAGACAUUAGUAUUAAGAUGAAAAGCUUUAUCUUUCUGUUGCGAAUACGAUCAA